CUAAGUUUGAUGGCGACCGGCGCACGGGUGAGUAAUACGUAUCCAACCUGCCGAUGACUCGGGGAUAGCCUUUCGAAAGAAAGAUUAAUACCCGAUGGCAUAGUUCUUCCGCAUGGUGGAACUAUUAAAGAAUUUCGGUCAUCGAUGGGGAUGCGUUCCAUUAGGUUGUUGGCGGGGUAACGGCCCACCAAGCCUUCGAUGGAUAGGGGUUCUGAGAGGAAGGUCCCCCACAUUGGAACUGAGACACGGUCCAAACUCCUACGGGAGGCAGCAUG
This 275-nucleotide ribosomal RNA is filed under the name uncultured bacterium. RNAcentral describes it as "partial 16S ribosomal RNA". It matches the Rfam family "Bacterial small subunit ribosomal RNA", at positions 79 to 353 of the family's 1533-position model. The record is from RNAcentral.